CCUACGGGAGGCAGCAGUGAGGAAUAUUGGUCAAUGGGUGCGAGCCUGAACCAGCCAAGUCGCGUGAGGGAAGACGGUCCUAUGGAUUGUAAACCUCUUUUGUCGGGGAGCAAAAGACGCAACGCGUGGCGUUCCGAGAGUACCCGAAGAAAAAGCAUCGGCUAACUCCGUGCCAGCAGCCGCGGUAAUACGGAGGAUGCGAGCGUUAUCCGGAUUUAGUGGGUUUAAAGGGUGCGCAGGCGGAAGAUCAAGUCAGCGGUAAAAUUGAGAGGCUCAACCUCUUAGAGCCGUUGAAACUGGUUUUCUUGAGUGAGUGAGAAGUAUGCGGAAUGCGUGGUGUAGCGGUGAAAUGCAUAGAUAUCACGCAGAACUCCGAUUGCGAAGGCAGCAUACCGGCGCUCAACUGACGCUCAUGCACGAAAGUGUGGGUAUCGAACAGGAUUAGAUACCCCGGUAGUC
RNAcentral lists this ribosomal RNA (459 nucleotides) under uncultured bacterium. RNAcentral describes it as "partial 16S ribosomal RNA". It matches the Rfam family "Bacterial small subunit ribosomal RNA", at positions 338 to 795 of the family's 1533-position model. The record is from RNAcentral.